UAGUCAUAUGCUUGUCUCAAAGAUUAAGCCAUGCAUGUCUAAGUAUAAACAUCUUUAUACAGUGAAACUGCGUACAGCUCAUUAUAUCAGUUAUUAUUUAUUUGAUGGUACCUUACUACAUGGAUACCCGUAGUAAUUCUAGAGCUAAUACAUGCGCAAAGUCCCGACUCUCGCGGGGAGGGAUGUAUUUAUUAGAUAAAAAACCAAUGCGGGACUUCUGUCCCGGUUCUUUUUGGUGACUCCUAGUAACUGUUCGAAUCGCAUGCCUUCACUGGUGG
This 278-nucleotide ribosomal RNA is filed under the name uncultured eukaryote. RNAcentral's name for it is "partial 18S ribosomal RNA". It matches the Rfam family "Eukaryotic small subunit ribosomal RNA", at positions 21 to 287 of the family's 1831-position model. The record is from RNAcentral.